AGAAGCAGCUUCGCCAGACAGCCGCAACGUACAUGUUGACUGCCCGAGGCGGAAGUCGAUCGGCAGAGCGGAAGGGGGACCUGCAGAGGACCUUCCGACAGGUUGGUCAGACCAUGCCCAUGGUUCCUCCUCUCGACUUCACUAUGAAUGCCGCAUCUGUUGAAUGAAUGCAGUUUCUGCUCUUGCUUUUGGAUAGAAGUGAUUGCAAAUCUUAUCAAAAUAAUGAAAAAAAUUACUUUUCAAUUCCUUUUCAACCCUUUUGAGUCUGAGGGGCAGCUGUACAUUAAAUGAAACCAUAUGUAUCAUAAUUUCAUUUUUCCAUCAAAAGAGCUUUAAAGGAAAUUCCCCUUUUUCUCCAUGUUUUCAAUAUUUUUUGUUCCUUUUGUUAAAAUCAGAUUAAUC
Molecule: long non-coding RNA, 402 nt
Filed under: Homo sapiens (human)
Lineage: Eukaryota; Metazoa; Chordata; Mammalia; Primates; Hominidae
Description: non-protein coding lnc-MPC1L-1:1
Source: RNAcentral